This 659-nucleotide ribosomal RNA is filed under the name Lysinibacillus sphaericus. Its description in RNAcentral is "bacterial SSU rRNA". It matches the Rfam family "Bacterial small subunit ribosomal RNA", at positions 225 to 875 of the family's 1533-position model. RNAcentral also lists the same sequence under 1 other name. Lineage: Bacteria; Bacillati; Bacillota; Bacilli; Caryophanales; Bacillaceae. The record is from RNAcentral.
AUGGGCCCGCGGCGCAUUAGCUAGUUGGUGAGGUAACGGCUCACCAAGGCGACGAUGCGUAGCCGACCUGAGAGGGUGAUCGGCCACACUGGGACUGAGACACGGCCCAGACUCCUACGGGAGGCAGCAGUAGGGAAUCUUCCACAAUGGGCGAAAGCCUGAUGGAGCAACGCCGCGUGAGUGAAGAAGGAUUUCGGUUCGUAAAACUCUGUUGUAAGGGAAGAACAAGUACAGUAGUAACUGGCUGUACCUUGACGGUACCUUAUUAGAAAGCCACGGCUAACUACGUGCCAGCAGCCGCGGUAAUACGUAGGUGGCAAGCGUUGUCCGGAAUUAUUGGGCGUAAAGCGCGCGCAGGUGGUUUCUUAAGUCUGAUGUGAAAGCCCACGGCUCAACCGUGGAGGGUCAUUGGAAACUGGGAGACUUGAGUGCAGAAGAGGAUAGUGGAAUUCCAAGUGUAGCGGUGAAAUGCGUAGAGAUUUGGAGGAACACCAGUGGCGAAGGCGACUAUCUGGUCUGUAACUGACACUGAGGCGCGAAAGCGUGGGGAGCAAACAGGAUUAGAUACGCUGGUAGUCCACGCCGUAAACGAUGAGUGCUAAGUGUUAGGGGGUUUCCGCCCCUUAGUGCUGCAGCUAACGCAUUAAGCACUCCGCCUG